GGAUUUUAUGAGAUUUUUUUUUUCGACUGUCUGAAACUGUCAAGGAACAACUAUGAAAUUCUUGGAGUCGCACAGGCCAAAAUGUGCAUAUGAUAAAUCAGUGAGUGUUGCAACUGUGAAAUGACUUCUGAACAUACUGCCUCAUCUGUCAUUGUCAAGGAUUAAAUAUGAACCAAAUUUGCAAGGGGUUUCAGUCACCCCAUCAGCCACCGUCCUGGAGCAGAUGAUCUUCAUCUGACGAAUCGUCAGAAGGUCAACAGAAGCCUAAUGCUGCGUCAGAGUGCCUACAUCAUUCUGAUGAACCGCCAGAGGGUCGUAGAUGCCGAACACUACCUUACUAUAUCUGUGUCAUUCACCCCACUCUGGUCCUCACUUAGGCGUGCUAUCAUCUCGCAUCAUCACAAGAAGGAUGAGGACAGUCCAGUAUGGUAUUUUGAGAGAGACCACAGCCACAUAACUUAUAUUACAGUAUAUUGUUGCAAUUGUUCUGUUUUAUUAUUAGUUAUUAUUGUUGAUCUCUUACUGUGCCUACUUUACAAAUUGUUUUAUCAUAGGUAUGUAUGUAUGAGAAAAAGCAUACAAUAUUUAGGGUUCGAUACUAUCCAUGGUUUCAGGCAUUUACUGGGAGUCUUGAAACCUCUCCUUUGCAGAUAAAGGCAGGACUAUGAUAUAGCUGAAGUUAAGCUAUUUUUUAGUGAAAUUAAAAAUUUUCUCAUUUGACACUUCUGGAUUGCAGUUGACAACUAACCUGAAAAUACAAAUGUCAUAACCAGGUCCUCCUGUGCACAAUGAGUAGGCAUCUUUGAGUUGUGUAGUGUGAGUCCAUGUAAGAUUCAUCACGUGACUUCAAAAAUGAAACUGUUCCGUAUUUUCUUCAUUGAGAUUCAGCAACACUAUCAAGAGACUGAGCAUAUUACGUUAAUCAUACUGGUAUUAAAAUAAAAGCUUAAUAAAAAAAAACAACGGCCAAAUAAAAAAGAG
Canis lupus familiaris (dog) is the source of this 981-nucleotide long non-coding RNA. RefSeq lists it as uncharacterized. The record is from RefSeq and is a predicted model, not a curated record. The transcript has 3 exons. NCBI's taxonomy places the organism in Eukaryota, Metazoa, Chordata, Mammalia, Carnivora, Canidae.